ACGCUCGACACCUACGGGAGGCGGCAGUGGGGAAUAUUGCACAAUGGGGGAAACCCUGAUGCAGCGACGCCGCGUGAAGGAUGAAGUAUUUCGGUAUGUAAACUUCUAUCAGCAGGGAAGAAAGUGACGGUACCUGACUAAGAAGCCCCGGCUAACUACGCGCCAGCAGCCGCGGUAAUCUGAGCGGGCUGGCAAGGC
This 198-nucleotide ribosomal RNA is filed under the name uncultured bacterium. RNAcentral describes it as "partial 16S ribosomal RNA". It matches the Rfam family "Bacterial small subunit ribosomal RNA", at positions 328 to 539 of the family's 1533-position model. The record is from RNAcentral.